UCCAAUACUUUUGAUGCUAAAUUGGCACCAGGAGACAUGUUCAACGCAUUCUUAAUUCGCCCUCGACAAUAAAGUAGGACUACUAGAUUCUUGACUUUGCAAUUCAGCCACGUUGGUGGUCUGAUAAAAAAGAAUAUUUUAUCAGAGUUAUUGCUGGCACCAGCCAACGUGGGCGAGCAACAUUGUUUGGUCAAUCUCAAGAGAACGGUUGCAAGGCGAGAAUACACGGUGCUAUUUACAGUAAGGAUGCUGCAUCGUGGAGAAAAAUUUAGUCAGUAAAACAGCUAAAAUUAUUGGAGCAACUGGUGUUGUAAAACAUUGCCCCUACAAAGCGUUGCGAAUAACGUUGCGCAUUGGUGAGGGGACUGGAGGAGAGAGGACUAUUGGAAGGAACGGAUGUCAUAUUGUUGCGCACAAUCAAAAUAGUAAAUUUUUUCAUACAUGCAUUGAAAGGAACUAUAUUUAACAUAAAUUUAGGGCUCAGUGAGUCCCUGAAAAGCAAGAUUAAAUAUGUAAUCCAAAA
Long non-coding RNA from Xenia sp. Carnegie-2017, 523 nucleotides. RefSeq lists it as uncharacterized. The transcript has 2 exons. The record is from RefSeq and is a predicted model, not a curated record. NCBI's taxonomy places the organism in Eukaryota, Metazoa, Cnidaria, Anthozoa, Malacalcyonacea, Xeniidae.